ACCUCUGUAGCUCAGUGGUAGAGCUUGCGAGUCGGGAACUGACAAGCCUGACAAUCGCGGGUUUGAUUCCCUCGGGGGCG
This is a non-coding RNA of Halocaridina rubra (Hawaiian volcano shrimp), 80 nucleotides long. Lineage: Eukaryota; Metazoa; Arthropoda; Malacostraca; Decapoda; Atyidae. The record is from the annotation of a GenBank genome assembly.